RNAcentral lists this ribosomal RNA (425 nucleotides) under uncultured bacterium. Its description in RNAcentral is "bacterial SSU rRNA". It matches the Rfam family "Bacterial small subunit ribosomal RNA", at positions 354 to 796 of the family's 1533-position model. The record is from RNAcentral.
GUGGGGGAUAUUGCACAAUGGGGGAAACCCUGAUGCAGCAACGCCGCGUGAGGGAAGACGGUUUUCGGAUUGUAAACCUCUGUCAUCGGUGACGAUAAUGACGGUAGCCGAUGAGGAAGCUCCGGCUAACUACGUGCCAGCAGCCGCGGUAAUACGUAGGGAGCGAGCGUUGUCCGGAAUUACUGGGUGUAAAGGGUGCGUAGGCGGGCAGUCAAGUCAGGCGUGAAAUCUAUGGGCUUAACCCAUAGUCUGCGUUUGAAACUGAUUGUCUUGAGUGAAGUAGAGGUAAGCGGAAUUCCCGGUGUAGCGGUGAAAUGCGUAGAGAUCGGGAGGAACACCAGUGGCGAAGGCGGCUUACUGGGCUUUUACUGACGCUGAGGCACGAAAGCAUGGGUAGCAAACAGGAUUAGAAACCCUAGUAGUCC